This is a long non-coding RNA of Brassica rapa (field mustard), 1223 nucleotides long. RefSeq lists it as uncharacterized. The record is from RefSeq and is a predicted model, not a curated record. NCBI's taxonomy places the organism in Eukaryota, Viridiplantae, Streptophyta, Magnoliopsida, Brassicales, Brassicaceae.
CAAUGUCGGGCUUGGAGUAGACGUCAACGUCGAAGCCUUCAGGGAUGUUGAGGUCGUCCUUGAGCUCAGGGUCUUUGACGAUGAUGAGAUGGAAACCGGAGAAAAAGGGUCUCCAGCUGUUGAGGAACUGGGUUAGGUCGGCGUUGAGAGCUCCGAUGACAAUGUCAACCUCGUUCUUGUUUAUCUCAGACGACGACAUGUUUGAAUAUCAAGUAGCAAAGUUCUAAGGUAAUCUUCUGCAGAAUGCAGCAGAUCCGAGGCUUUCUUCUUCCUAUUUUUCAGAGGGAAGUUGAUGAACACGAGCUUUGUGUAUGUAAUGGAUUGGGGAUUUAUCACGUUUCCGUAGAAUUGGUCUAAAAACGUCUCGCGCAUUUGCUGCUGCGUCCCGCAAUUCCCUCUUUGAUCGUGCGUGUGCGUGUCGUAACGUUAGUGCGCGUCAACGUGUUAAAAAAAGGAGACUCCAUUUUUUAUUAAUCCUAAACCGUAUCUAACCGAAUGGUCUGAUUUGGAAUUAAUUUUAAUUGAUUUAACUAGGUUUUGGGUUUGGUUUGAACCGGAACUGAAGUAAAUCUACUAAACCAAAAUAUUCUUUUUAUGUUGGAAUGUGAUACUGGUGCAGUUAUUGGUUUUGUUGAAACUACUAAUCCUAACAAAACUCAAUUUCAAUUUAAUUUACCGAUUCCUAACCAAAAUCCACAUGAAUAUCAAGAACCAUAUCAUUAAUUAUACUCUCACAAGUCAAAACGCGUACCGAACCUCAUAUACCAAACCUAUCCUAACAAAAUCCAGGGUCUAGUUUAUUCUUUCAGCUGCUUGUAAACCAAAGCCAGAUCAUGAUCAAGAACCGGAUCCAUUAACCAAAAAAUAUUUCAAGAAUGGAUAUACUCAAAAAGUCAACACUCUUAUUUAGCCUCAAAAUACCAACCCUAUCCUCAAUAAUAAUUCAACUUGAUCAAUUAUUAUACUCAGAACCCGGUUUAAGGUAACAUCAACUCUUUUAUUAUUUCCAUUAAAGACAAGUCUCUCUAAAACAAACAAGUCGAACUUAAAAACAUUACAAAGUUACAUUUCAAAAAACAAACAAGGAAAAACAAAAGGUGGUGGUGGUGGUGGUGUCAAUCAAAUGGGCUGUGUGCACUUCUUCUGAGAAUGACCAAGCAAAUGACACCUCCCACACUGCACAAUCCUCUUCGGUCUCUUCAAAUUCUCAACUCUCACCACUU